GACAACUCGCGGGGAUUGUUUUCCACACCGUGGAAGCUUUGUUCUUUUCGUUUUUUGCAAUAAAUCUUGUUGCUGCUCGCUUUUUGGGUCCACAUUGCUUUUAUGAGCUGUACCACUCACCGUGAAGAUCUGCAGCUUCACUUCAGAGCCUAGCGAGACCACAAGCUCACUGAGAGGAACAAACAACUCCAGACGCGCUGUCUUAAGAGCUAUAACACUCACCGCGAAGGUGUGCAGUUUCACUCCUGAGCUAGUGAGACUACGAAGCCACUGGAACGAAGAAACUCCAACCACGUUUGAACAUCAGAAGGGGCAGACUCCAGACGCUUCAUCUUAAGAGCUGUAACACUCACUGUGAAGGUCUGCAGCUUCACUCCUGAGCCAGCGAGACCACGAACCGAUCUGAACAUCAGAAGGGACAGACUCCAGAUGCCCCACCUUAAGAGCUGUAAUACUCACUGCAAGGGUCUGCAGCUUCAUUCUUGAAGUCAGACCAAGAACCCAGCAAUUCCCAACACACAGGGACCAGCUUCUUUCCUAACUCACUUAGGCUCUUCGUGCUGCUCUGGCAACUAACACCCUUGGCUGCAGGGGCUUGGACACUACCCUUAGUCACUGACAAUUGUGUGAAGGCUGCUGUCGUUAACUUCACUUGAUCACCUUAGGCUCCUGUGAAGUGGUGAGCAAUUCAAACAAAUUCCUGUCGUCAAAUCAUGAUAUACAUCUUUCCACACCAAUAGACCUUGUUUUCCGAUGUAGCAUUAUUUUUCAUAGUUGGCGAAUAUACAGUUAUGGAUUCAUAACAGCAAGAUGGAGAAAUUGCACUGCAGAGAAAUCUUUAAAAGCAAUUACCUAAUACUGCAGAUUGCUGAACUGUACCCACACCCAAGACUGAGCAUUGGAUCAAUCCAGAAUAUACAUCAGGUGUUCUGCAAUGUCUGCCUAAAACCAUGACUCUGCCUCCUCCAGCUGUUGCUACAUCUCACUAUGGGUUUCCUGUGACAUUUUGAGCAAGUAUGCCUCUGUGACUGGGGUUCUUACACUCCAGAAUGGAUGAGAAGCACCGUAAGUGGCUUUUAAAAUGAAUAUUCCCUGGCCCUUCAGUCGCUCUAUAGGUCAAGAAUCUGAAUUCUCAACCUGUCUAGAAGGUUCUGGUUUUAAUGGUCUGUGGGCUGCACAUUGAGAAACCUGUUCAGCGAGUGCAACAAAGGUUCCACAUGUGAGAAAGGAAGCAUCAGGUCUCUUGAGCCUGUUCUUUAAUCUGUAGGCUGCACCUUCUCUUUAAAUUCUGCUAAUAACACCAUGCGAGAAAACACCCGAGCUUGAAAAGCCCAUGUUCCAACAUAACUGUCCUUCACCACUCUGGAAAAUUAAUGGUUUGUUUCGAUUAUCCCUUUGUUAAACUCCAAAGUCAAAGAGCUCUGAAAGGCAUACGGUUAUUUUAAGUUUCAGGUGAUUUCUGUUGCCAAAUAUUUUAAAAAUUUAAAAUUGCUACGUGACCUCUUAGUAGUACUAUUAGAUUUCCUGACAAUAAAAAUAAGUCUUUUGGUUUCACCAUUUAUAGUUAGUACAGCUAAUAUUAAGUAUAAUUUUAAAAGCCUUUUAUUUUCUCAGAAAGAAAAAAUAAUCAAAAUCUGCUCAGUGUGGUAUUGAAUAAUUAAAAACAAAAGAACAGUAUCUUCACAUUAGUGUUUAAUAUUAAUUGCUUUUUUACCCUUGACACUGGUGCUAAUUAAAUUUUCAUUUUAUUUUCCAUGACUUGUUUAAACAGUUUUUGCAAAUUAUUGCUAAUCAGCCUAAUAAAACUGAAUCACCUAUUAAACAAUUUUGUUU
Long non-coding RNA from Homo sapiens (human), 1833 nucleotides. The record is from Ensembl. NCBI's taxonomy places the organism in Eukaryota, Metazoa, Chordata, Mammalia, Primates, Hominidae.